UUAAGCGACUAAGCGUACACGGUGGAUGCCCUGGCAGUCAGAGGCGAUGAAGGGCGUGCUAAUCUGCGAUAAGCGCCGGUAAGGUGAUAUGAACCGUUAUAACCGGCGAUACCCGAAUGGGGAAACCCAGUGUGAUUCGUCACACUAUCAUUAACUGAAUCCAUAGGUUAAUGAGGCGAACCGGGGGAACUGAAACAUCUAAGUACCCCGAGGAAAAGAAAUCAACCGAGAUUCCCCCAGUAGCGGCGAGCGAACGGGGAGGAGCCCAGAGCCUGAAUCAGCAUGUGUGUUAGUGGAAGCGUCUGGAAAGGCGCGCGAUACAGGGUGACAGCCCCGUACACAAAAGCGCAUGUGUUGUGAGCUCGAUGAGUAGGGCGGGACACGUGGUAUCCUGUCUGAAUAUGGGGGGACCAUCCUCCAAGGCUAAAUACUCCUGACUGACCGAUAGUGAACCAGUACCGUGAGGGAAAGGCGAAAAGAACCCCGGCGAGGGGAGUGAAAAAGAACCUGAAACCGUGUACGUACAAGCAGUGGGAGCACAGGUUUACCUGUGUGACUGCGUACCUUUUGUAUAAUGGGUCAGCGACUUAUAUUCUGUAGCAAGGUUAACCGUAUAGGGGAGCCGGAGGGAAACCGAGUCUUAACCGGGCGUUAAGUUGCAGGGUAUAGACCCGAAACCCGGUGAUCUAGCCAUGGGCAGGUUGAAGGUUGGGUAACACUAACUGGAGGACCGAACCGACUAAUGUUGAAAAAUUAGCGGAUGACCUGUGGCUGGGGGUGAAAGGCCAAUCAAACCGGGAGAUAGCUGGUUCUCCCCGAAAGCUAUUUAGGUAGCGCCUCGUGAAUUCAUCUCCGGGGGUAGAGCACUGUUUCGGCUAGGGGGCCAUCCCGGCUUACCAACCCGAUGCAAACUGCGAAUACCGGAGAAUGUUAUCACGGGAGACACACGGCGGGUGCUAACGUCCGUCGUGAAGAGGGAAACAACCCAGACCGCCAGCUAAGGUCCCAAAGUCAUGGUUAAGUGGGAAACGAUGUGGGAAGGCCCAGACAGCCAGGAUGUUGGCUUAGAAGCAGCCAUCAUUUAAAGAAAGCGUAAUAGCUCACUGGUCGAGUCGGCCUGCGCGGAAGAUGUAACGGGGCUAAACCAUGCACCGAAGCUGCGGCAGCGACGCUUAUGCGUUGUUGGGUAGGGGAGCGUUCUGUAAGCCUGUGAAGGUGUGUCGUGAGGCAUGCUGGAGGUAUCAGAAGUGCGAAUGCUGACAUAAGUAACGAUAAAGCGGGUGAAAAGCCCGCUCGCCGGAAGACCAAGGGUUCCUGUCCAACGUUAAUCGGGGCAGGGUGAGUCGACCCCUAAGGCGAGGCCGAAAGGCGUAGUCGAUGGGAAACAGGUUAAUAUUCCUGUACUUGGUGUUACUGCGAAGGGGGGACGGAGAAGGCUAUGUUGGCCGGGCGACGGUUGUCCCGGUUUAAGCGUGUAGGUGUGUGUUCCAGGUAAAUCCGGUUCACUUUAACACUGAGGCGUGAUGACGAGGCACUACGGUGCUGAAGCAACAAAUGCCCUGCUUCCAGGAAAAGCCUCUAAGCAUCAGGUAACAUCAAAUCGUACCCCAAACCGACACAGGUGGUCAGGUAGAGAAUACCAAGGCGCUUGAGAGAACUCGGGUGAAGGAACUAGGCAAAAUGGUGCCGUAACUUCGGGAGAAGGCACGCUGACACGUAGGUGAAGUGAUUUACUCAUGGAGCUGAAGUCAGUCGAAGAUACCAGCUGGCUGCAACUGUUUAUUAAAAACACAGCACUGUGCAAACACGAAAGUGGACGUAUACGGUGUGACGCCUGCCCGGUGCCGGAAGGUUAAUUGAUGGGGUCAGCGCAAGCGAAGCUCCUGAUCGAAGCCCCGGUAAACGGCGGCCGUAACUAUAACGGUCCUAAGGUAGCGAAAUUCCUUGUCGGGUAAGUUCCGACCUGCACGAAUGGCGUAAUGAUGGCCAGGCUGUCUCCACCCGAGACUCAGUGAAAUUGAACUCGCUGUGAAGAUGCAGUGUACCCGCGGCAAGACGGAAAGACCCCGUGAACCUUUACUAUAGCUUGACACUGAACAUUGAGCCUUGAUGUGUAGGAUAGGUGGGAGGCUUUGAAGCGUGGACGCCAGUCUGCGUGGAGCCGACCUUGAAAUACCACCCUUUAAUGUUUGAUGUUCUAACGUGGACCCGUGAUCCGGGUUGCGGACAGUGUCUGGUGGGUAGUUUGACUGGGGCGGUCUCCUCCUAAAGAGUAACGGAGGAGCACGAAGGUUGGCUAAUCCUGGUCGGACAUCAGGAGGUUAGUGCAAUGGCAUAAGCCAGCUUGACUGCGAGCGUGACGGCGCGAGCAGGUGCGAAAGCAGGUCAUAGUGAUCCGGUGGUUCUGAAUGGAAGGGCCAUCGCUCAACGGAUAAAAGGUACUCCGGGGAUAACAGGCUGAUACCGCCCAAGAGUUCAUAUCGACGGCGGUGUUUGGCACCUCGAUGUCGGCUCAUCACAUCCUGGGGCUGAAGUAGGUCCCAAGGGUAUGGCUGUUCGCCAUUUAAAGUGGUACGCGAGCUGGGUUUAGAACGUCGUGAGACAGUUCGGUCCCUAUCUGCCGUGGGCGCUGGAGAACUGAGGGGGGCUGCUCCUAGUACGAGAGGACCGGAGUGGACGCAUCACUGGUGUUCGGGUUGUCAUGCCAAUGGCACUGCCCGGUAGCUAAAUGCGGAAGAGAUAAGUGCUGAAAGCAUCUAAGCACGAAACUUGCCCCGAGAUGAGUUCUCCCUGAGACUUAGAGUCUCCUGAAGGAACGUUGAAGACGACGACGUUGAUAGGCCGGGUGUGUAAGCGCAGCGAUGCGUUGAGCUAACCGGUACUAAUGAACCGUGAGGCUUAACCUU
RNAcentral lists this ribosomal RNA (2906 nucleotides) under Salmonella enterica. Its description in RNAcentral is "bacterial LSU rRNA". It matches the Rfam family "Bacterial large subunit ribosomal RNA". Lineage: Bacteria; Pseudomonadati; Pseudomonadota; Gammaproteobacteria; Enterobacterales; Enterobacteriaceae. The record is from RNAcentral.